UAUAUCGGUAUACAUAUGAGGGGAGACUGUAUGAUCCAGCCGGUUAGGGAAGCCGACUCAUUACAAACUGCAUCUGGAAACGCCAAGCACAGGUGUGCGUCAUGUAUAAUCACGUGUUGUCAUCCAAAGCACAAUUAAUGCAGCACAGUAAUAUAAACUUAGUUACGGUAUUAGGUAUUGCACCCAAAAGAUUAUAUUACGAAUUGUUUCCUAAACACUGCCGCUUCCCCUGGCUCCAUAGUCUUCCUGCUUGGACACAGCCUUGGAGUCCACCAGCUUGAAGAUGCCCUUCUCCCUCUGCGUCCACUUGAUGUACUUGGGACAGGUGUUUUUGUCCUGCAGCAAGGCCAGGAGAAACUCCCACAGGAACGCAAGGCCGUGACAGGAGACAGGGACAGAGUUCAGAACCGGAGACCUGCCACUGCCCCCUGCUGGCAGACGAGGAGCCGUGCGUCACCUUUCUUCUUCUGUGGUUUUGUGGGGCACUUCCGCGGGAUCUCGUCCAUGGAGGAGGACUCGUCGUCCGGCGACCAGUCCGCGCAGCCGCUGGACAGCUGCUCUGGCUUCAGCGGUAUGUAGCUGAUUUCAGGGUCCAGCAGGGCACCAUAUGUGUGAACUGGACAACAGCCGGGAGAGGAGAAGAGAGAGAG
Molecule: long non-coding RNA, 650 nt
Organism: Anguilla rostrata (American eel)
Lineage: Eukaryota; Metazoa; Chordata; Actinopteri; Anguilliformes; Anguillidae
Exons: 3
Source: RefSeq, a predicted model, not a curated record